This is a long non-coding RNA of Mus musculus (house mouse), 476 nucleotides long. RefSeq annotates it as predicted gene, 32833. The transcript has 3 exons. The record is from RefSeq and is a predicted model, not a curated record. Lineage: Eukaryota; Metazoa; Chordata; Mammalia; Rodentia; Muridae.
CAGUUUUCCAUCUGGAGAACAGCCCAGAAAUGAUCCAGUCUCCUCGCCAGAUUGAAGAGGCAGCUUUUGGAGAUUAUGCAGGCUAUGUUAGCUGAACACCUGAGAAGUGACGGAGACCUGAGUAAACAGGAAGGGCUAGGUGGCACCGCGGUUGGAAGCCCAGUUUGCAGGAAGGAGCCUUCAGUUUCAUGAACACACCUCAUCAAGUGGAAUGGACUGAGGCUGCGAUGCACCAGAGUCUAACAGGCAGCUCAACACUCCACCCAAGGAGCAGCUCUUUGCCAGAUGUGCUUUGAGAAUGAGGCACAUAGGUCUUCCUGCAGACACUUUGUGUAGGCAUAUUGUGGACACGGUCCAGAUGUGUGGAAGGCUGGGUCUGCUUCACACAGGGACCUCUUUGUGUGUUCUCACUGGAGGGAGUGGAAACACUCAGGAAAGACCCCCUCAGCGAGAAAGAAGGGGGCCUGGACAUUUCA